RNAcentral lists this ribosomal RNA (406 nucleotides) under uncultured bacterium. Its description in RNAcentral is "partial 16S ribosomal RNA". It matches the Rfam family "Bacterial small subunit ribosomal RNA", at positions 30 to 526 of the family's 1533-position model. The record is from RNAcentral.
AUUGAACGCUGGCGGCAGGCCUAACACAUGCAAGUCGAGCGAGCGGCGGACGGGUGAGUAAUGUAUGGGGCUCUGCCCGGGAGAGGGGGAUAGGUACUGGAAACGGUUGCCAAUACCGUCUUCUUUCGGAUGAACCAGUAUUGGAUUAGCUAGUGGGUGGGGUAAAGGCACACCUAGACGCCGAUCUCUAGCUGGUCUGAGAGGAUGAUCAGCCACACUGGAACUGAGACACGGCCCAGACUCCUACGGGAGGCAGCAGUGGGGAAUAUUGCACAAUGGGCGCAAGCCUGAUGCAGCCAUGCCGCGUGUAUGAAGAAGGCCUUCGGGUUGUAAAGCACUUUCAGCUGGGAGGCGUUACCCGCAGAAUAAGCACCGGCUAACUCCGUGCCAGCAGCCGCGGUAAUAC